Small nuclear RNA from Meriones unguiculatus (Mongolian gerbil), 103 nucleotides. NCBI's taxonomy places the organism in Eukaryota, Metazoa, Chordata, Mammalia, Rodentia, Muridae. The record is from Ensembl.
UUGGUUUGGCAGCACAGAUACUAAAACUGGAAGGAUAAAGAGAAAAUUAGCAAGACCCCUGUGCAAGGGUCACACACAAGUUCAUGAAGCGUUCCAUAUUUUC